RNAcentral lists this ribosomal RNA (253 nucleotides) under uncultured Eubacteriales bacterium. Its description in RNAcentral is "uncultured Clostridiales bacterium partial 16S ribosomal RNA". It matches the Rfam family "Bacterial small subunit ribosomal RNA", at positions 524 to 776 of the family's 1533-position model. The record is from RNAcentral. Lineage: Bacteria; Bacillati; Bacillota; Clostridia; Eubacteriales.
UACGUAGGUGGCAAGCGUUGUCCGGAUUUACUGGGUGUAAAGGGCGUGCAGCCGGAGAGACAAGUCAGAUGUGAAAUCCACAGGCUCAACCUGUGAACUGCAUUUGAAACUGUUUCCCUUGAGUAUCGGAGAGGUCAUCGGAAUUCCUAGUGUAGCGGUGAAAUGCGUAGAUAUUAGGAGGAACACCAGUGGCGAAGGCGGCUUACUGGACUGUAACUGACGUUGAGGCUCGAAAGCGUGGGGAGCAAACAGG